Long non-coding RNA from Gallus gallus (chicken), 340 nucleotides. The record is from Ensembl. NCBI's taxonomy places the organism in Eukaryota, Metazoa, Chordata, Aves, Galliformes, Phasianidae.
CAUGCCCAGACAUGCACUGUGCUCAUCCGUGGUUGUGCACAGUGACUUUCUGCAGCUGGGGACUCACCUCACAAAGGAAUAGAGAAGAAGUGAUGAAUUGGUGAAAUUCCUAGAGAAGCAGGAGCUACACGAAGAAUUUGAAGAUAGAGAACAAGCACACAUGUAUGGACAAGAUACAGAUAAAGUAUAGCUAUCUAAGAAAGAUGAGUGCCAUGACCUUUGGAGCAUUUCCUUGGAGAUCCUUGAAAUCUGGCUCAUGGAAGUACUGACAGAAGUUGUUUCCUCUAAAUGAAACCCAAAGUGGAAGCCUCUUCAAGUGUGCAUAUCAGGAAUCUUCUCA